This 1006-nucleotide long non-coding RNA is filed under the name Scleropages formosus (Asian bonytongue). RNAcentral's name for it is "lncRNA (ENSSFOG00015025260.1)". Lineage: Eukaryota; Metazoa; Chordata; Actinopteri; Osteoglossiformes; Osteoglossidae. The record is from RNAcentral.
CAUAACCAGAGGGUCAUCAACUGCUUGGGAAGCGCAAUCGGGGAGAGUUUAACGCAAGAGCCGAGUUUAUACAAAUAGAAAAUGUUGGUCGUAAAUGUAGUGAUAGUAAUACUAGCAGGGGGGCAGAACAAGGUAAAGGCGCAGUAAUGAGCAAAAAAAAAAAAAAAAAAAAAAAAGAAAAAGAGAAUGGCAGAAUUUAAGAGUAGUGAAAACCAAGACGGUGGAAAAAUAAGAUAAUUCUGUAAAUAAUUCUUCAUUUACACCUUGGAGGAAAACGCUUUUUUAGAAAACUGUAUCAAGCGUCUCCUCUGUACGUGUGUUUCCCUUUCUCCGGGUCUUAUUGGAAGCCGAACCACUUCAAGACCCGUAAUCCAGAGGGAACCCGGGUUCUGAAGCUCCUUCGCCGGGGUAUCUGAUAUAAUUAUUAUACGUACCGAACGUCUGUGUUCGUAUGUUCUUUCUAUAAACCGUUUACUUUGGCCCACGUGGCAGAGACAAACACCGGCUGUGGAUGAACAUGAUCUGAUUCUUCGCUUUCCCUGCAGUAUUUUAUUAUGGGAUUAAGAGUGUUGUCACAGUAUCGUAACGUACUACUGUACUGCACCGCACGGUGCUCUGCGAUCCUUUUGACAGGAGCUCAUGGCACGGUGGGCGGGGUCAGCGGCGCGCGAAGCGGGGCACGUGUGAAAGGAAGGGUCACGCUCCGUACCGUCAUUUACCACAAUUGGCACCGAUUAGUACACAGACGUGACGGCAGCAGCGUGAAGUGGGGUCACUGGGUGUUUCGGGUCAUUCGGCAUCGACGCUCACCAGGUGACUCAACCGGGAUCGAUCGAACUCCAGCCCGAGUCCAGGCAGCACUUCCUUGAAGCACAGCUCACCGCUCCGCAUGCCGCAGCCAUCCGGAUGGGUUCUUCACAGUGUCGGUGAGCAGCGGCGCCGCUCCACCGGUUCCUCAUACCUCGCCAUCUUUCUUUCGUUGGCCUCUUCCAUCCGAUCGGCCCAG